GCCUGGCUGGCUCAGUCAGUGGAGCAUGUGACACUUGAUCUCACAGGGUUGUGGGUUCAAGUCCCACAUUGGGCA
This 75-nucleotide transfer RNA is filed under the name Felis catus (domestic cat). It matches the Rfam family "tRNA". Rfam says of the family: Transfer RNA (tRNA) molecules are approximately 80 nucleotides in length. Their secondary structure includes four short double-helical elements and three loops (D, anti-codon, and T loops). The record is from Rfam by way of RNAcentral. Lineage: Eukaryota; Metazoa; Chordata; Mammalia; Carnivora; Felidae.